RNAcentral lists this ribosomal RNA (451 nucleotides) under uncultured bacterium. RNAcentral's name for it is "partial 16S ribosomal RNA". It matches the Rfam family "Bacterial small subunit ribosomal RNA", at positions 355 to 797 of the family's 1533-position model. The record is from RNAcentral.
UGGGGAAUAUUGCACAAUGGGCGCAAGCCUGAUGCAGCCAUGCCGCGUGUGUGAAGAAGGCCUUCGGGUUGUAAGCACUUUCAGCGAGGAGGAAGGUGGUGAACUUAAUACGUUCAUCAAUUGACGUUACUCGCAGAAGAAGCACCGGCUAACUCCGUGCCAGCAGCCGCGGUAAUACGGAGGGUGCAAGCGUUAAUCGGAAUUACUGGGCGUAAAGCGCACGCAGGCGGUUUGUUAAGUCAGAUGUGAAAUCCCCGGGCUCAACCUGGGAACUGCAUUUGAAACUGGCAAGCUAGGAGUCUCGUAGAGGGGGGUAGAAUUCCAGGUGUAGCGGUGAAAUGCGUAGAGAUCUGGAGGAAUACCGGUGGCGAAGGCGGCCCCCUGGACGAAGACUGACGCUCAGGUGCGAAAGCGUGGGGAGCAAAACAGGAUUAGAUACCCUGGUAGUCCA